UACGAAGGGGGCUAGCGUUGCUCGGAAUCACUGGGCGUAAAGCGCACGUAGGCGGCUUUUUAAGUCAGGGGUGAAAUCCUGGAGCUCAACUCCAGAACUGCCUUUGAUACUGGGAAGCUUGAGUCCGGAAGAGGUGAGUGGAACUCCGAGUGUAGAGGUGAAAUUCGUAGAUAUUCGGAAGAACACCAGUGGCGAAGGCGACUUACUGGACACAUAUUGACGCUGAGGUGCGAAAGCGUGGGGAGCAAACAGG
This 253-nucleotide ribosomal RNA is filed under the name uncultured bacterium. Its description in RNAcentral is "partial 16S ribosomal RNA". It matches the Rfam family "Bacterial small subunit ribosomal RNA", at positions 524 to 776 of the family's 1533-position model. The record is from RNAcentral.